UUCUCCUGGAAACGGGUGGUAAUGCCGGAUGCUCCGACUCCUCGCAUGGGGUGUCGGGAAAGAUUUCAUCGGUAUGGGAUGGGGUCGCGUCCUAUCAGGUAGUCGGCGGGGUAACGGCCCACCGAGCCUACGACGGGUAGCCGGCCUGAGAGGGCGACCGGCCACAUUGGGACUGAGAUACGGCCCAGACUCCUACGGGAGGCAGCAGUGGGGAAUAUUGCACAAUGGGCGCAAGCCUGAUGCAGCGACGCCGCGUGCGGGAUGACGGCCUUCGGGUUGUAAACCGCUUUUGAUCGGGAGCAAGCCUUCGGGUGAGUGUACCUUUCGAAUAAGCACCGGCUAACUACGUGCCAGCAGCCGCGGUAAUACGUAGGGUGCAAGCGUUAUCCGGAAUUAUUGGGCGUAAAGGGCUCGUAGGCGGUUCGUCGCGUCCGGUGUGAAAGUCCAUCGCUUAACGGUGGAUCUGCGCCGGGUACGGGCGGGCUGGAGUGCGGUAGGGGAGACUGGAAUUCCCGGUGUAACGGUGGAAUGUGUAGAUAUCGGGAAGAACACC
This 553-nucleotide ribosomal RNA is filed under the name Bifidobacterium pseudocatenulatum. Its description in RNAcentral is "bacterial SSU rRNA". It matches the Rfam family "Bacterial small subunit ribosomal RNA", at positions 145 to 710 of the family's 1533-position model. Lineage: Bacteria; Bacillati; Actinomycetota; Actinomycetes; Bifidobacteriales; Bifidobacteriaceae. The record is from RNAcentral.